Molecule: ribosomal RNA, 228 nt
Filed under: Triticum aestivum (bread wheat)
Lineage: Eukaryota; Viridiplantae; Streptophyta; Magnoliopsida; Poales; Poaceae
Description: partial small subunit ribosomal RNA
Source: RNAcentral
AUGAACAGAGCCGGCAGGCUUGCCCUCGUCAAGUCGGUCCUCUGCGCGAUCCCGGUGCACCAGCUGCUUGCUUUUGCCCCCACGAAGAAAACUCUGAGGCUUCGAGAAGAUUCAACGGGGAUUCUUAUGGGCUGGGCGAGCCGUCACCAACGGCGGUCACUGCCAUGUGAACUGGCACCUCGUCUCCCGCCCCCUCGAGCUUGGGGGUCUCGGGGUUCGCGACCUUGA